UUAUAGGGUCCCUUAUAGGGUCUGUUAUAGGGUUCCUUAUAGGGUCCCUUAUAGGGUUCCUUAUAGGGUUCCUUAUAGGGUCUGUUAUAGGGUUGGUUAUGGGAUCCCUUAUAGGGCCGGUUAUGGGAUCCCCUAUAGGGCCGGUUAUGGGGUCUGUUAUAGGGUCCCUUAUAGGGUCCCUUAUAGGGUCUGUUAUAGGGUCCCUUAUAGGGUCCCUUAUAGGGCCGGUUAUGGGGUCUGUUAUGGGGUCUGUAGUUAUAUAGGGUCCCUUAUAGGGUCUGUUAUAGGGUUCCUUAUAGGGUCUGUUAUAGGGUCCCUUAUAGGGUCUGUUAUAGGGUUCCUUAUAGGGUCCCUUAUAGGGUCCCUUAUAGGGUCUGUUAUAGGGUCCCUUAUAGGGUCUGUUAUAGGGUCUGUUAUAGGGUCCCUUAUAGGGUCUGUUAUAGGGUUCUUUAUAGGGUUCCUUAUAGGGUCUGUUAUAGGGUCUGUUAUAGGGCCCCUUAUAGGGUCUGUUAUAGGGUCUGUUAUAGGGUCCCUUAUAGGGUCCCUUAUAGGGUCUGUUAUAGGGUCCCCUAUAGGGUUCCUUAUAGGGUCCCUUAUAGGGUUCCAUAUAGGGUCCCUUAUAGGGUCUGUUAUAGGGUCCCUUAUAGGGUCUGUUAUAGGGUCCCUUAUAGGGUCAGUUAUAGGGUCCCUUAUAGGGUUCCUUAUAGGGCUGGUUAUAGGGUCCCUUAUAGGGUCCCUUAUAGGGUCUGUUAUAGGGUCCCUUAUAGAAUCUGUUAUAGAGUCCCUUAUAGGGUCUGUUAUGGGGUCUGUUGUUAUAUAGGGUUCCUUAUAGGGUCCCCUAUAGGGUCUCACCCCACACUGCUGGCUAUGGGGUCCCCUAUGGGUCUGGUUAUGGGGUAUAUUAUAGGGUUCCUUAUAGGGCCCCUUAUAGGGUCCCUUAUAGGGUCCCUUAUAGGGUCACUUAUAGGGUCUGUUAUAGGGUCCCUUAUAGGGUCUGUUAUAGGGCCAGCUAUAGGGUCUGUUAUAGGGUCUGUUAUAGGGUCCCUUAUAGGGUCUGUUAUAGGGUCCCCUAUAGGGCCGGUUAUAGGGUCUGUUAUAGGGUCCCCUAUAGGGUCUGUUAUAGGGUCCCCUAUAGGGCCGGUUAUGGGGUCCCUUAUAGGGUAUGUUAUAGGGUCCCUUAUAGGGUUCCUUAUAGGGUUCCUUAUAGGGUCCCUUAUAGGGUCUGUUAUAGGGUCCCUUAUAGGGCCGGUUCUGGGGUCCCUUAUAGGGCCGGUUAUGGGGUCUGUUAUGGGGUCUGUUGUUAUAUAGGGUCCCCUAUAGGGCCGGUUAUAGGGUCCCCUAUAGGGUCUCACCCCACACUGCUGGCUGUGGGGUCCCCUAUAGGGCCUUAUAGGGCCGGUUAUGGGGUCUGUUAUGGGGUCUGUUGUUAUAGGGUAUGUUAUAGGGUCCCUUAUAGGGUCUGUUGUUAUAGGGUCCCUUAUAGGGUUCCUUAUAGGGUCCCCUAUAGGGUCUCACCCCACACUCUUGGCUGUCGGUGACUCUGAGCCGGUCGCUGCCGGGUUCCAGCCGUUCCCCAUUGGCCGCAAUGAGUUUUAACGGGGGGAUGGCGCCCCCUGCUGGACACCGCCGGGAAACGCUCUGAGUGGCCG
This 1649-nucleotide long non-coding RNA is filed under the name Coturnix japonica (Japanese quail). Its description in RNAcentral is "lncRNA (ENSCJPG00005002620.1)". The record is from RNAcentral. Lineage: Eukaryota; Metazoa; Chordata; Aves; Galliformes; Phasianidae.